Molecule: long non-coding RNA, 1199 nt
Organism: Dreissena polymorpha
Lineage: Eukaryota; Metazoa; Mollusca; Bivalvia; Myida; Dreissenidae
Exons: 2
Source: RefSeq, a predicted model, not a curated record
GGACUGCUGAUACGCAUAAGGUUAUCUUCAGAAGGCAUUUUAAAGAAUACAUGUUCGCAUAAUUUCGCUAUGUUAGUUUAUAAAUUAAAAGACUGAUAAUUGUCCUUAACUUCUAGUAAUAAAUUCAGAACAUCCUUUCAUACAUUUUAUGUCAUGACUGCACACCGACAAAAUAACAUGAACAUCAACUUAUAGUUCAUUGCCCUCGUUGUAGCAAACAGUGUGUGGGGCGUGGCAUCAGAUGCUGAAUAUGACUUUCAGGCGAUAUUGGACAGGCUCAACAACUUAGAAACACAAAACGUAAAACUAUGGAAAGAGCAUGUUGAGCUGAAAAAGGAAAAUGCCUAAUUGUUGGACCGCAUUUGUCAUUUUAGUCAACGUAACCAUCUACAAGAAACAGCGCUGCGACCUCUAGCCAAUCGAAGAAUCGGAUCUCAAGAGCCAGAAGCGUUCUCUGCAACGAUGUCCACAAAACAAAUGCACUUAGGAAUCAACCAAAACCUCGUGUUUGAUAGGGUUCUUUUAAACGACGGAUCCGGCUACUAUCCUCUACAUGGUUUGUUUAUUGCUCCACAAUCGGGAAUUUAUAUGGUAUCUUCGUCAAUCAUGGCCUGGAAUGGACGAGCGUUGGCUGCGGAAAUCGUCAAAAAUGGCAAUGUUCAAGCUCGAGUUUACGCCCAUGAACUAUCGGUACGAAGUUUCGUUAAGGCAGAUGCGAAGGUUUGUGGAAGUGAUUACCCUUCGUUUAGUGGCUACCUGUUGUGGCCAAUGUAGUCAUCCAAAUUACCAACCAAAUAUGAAAUAUUAUCAACUAUUAAAUCAGAGGUUAAUGAAGUGCGUAGUUGAUCUAUCUUCAAAAUAAAUGGCAUAAUGCUAAAAUCUGUUAAAACGCCUACUAUUAAACAAUUUUGCUUCUUUUAUUUGUCAAUACCUGCGUUAGCCAGAUGUAGCUUUUACUAUUUUUGUUAUUCUUCAUAAAGCCAAAAUGUGUGACGUAUGCUCUUAAAGCCCUCAUAAAUAAUACUAUAAAUUAAAACAUAAAACAUUGCAUGGAAUACUUCAUCUCAUAUUGUGAUUUUAUAUUUUCGUGCACUUAGGCAAUGCUUUAGCUUAUUGUAUACGUAACAAAAUGCAUCAUUUACACGAUUUUGCUUUAAACUAUUUCGAUAUUUUGAGCCAAUAAAAUGUAUUUUUAAUUA